CUUACCCCUACUCUCUAUUUACCUUUCUAUCUAUAACUCCUUUAACUUUAUUCCCUCUUGCCAUUGUCUCUUUUCCAAACUGGUUGCUACUGGGGAAGUCACAAGGCAAAGCAUAUAUUUUGGACGGCAGUCUGACCACAUUUUUAAAUUUCUUGAACCUUCCAGUGACUCAUUUCUUUUAGAAUUUUUACUGUAGCAUAAGAAAGAAAGAAGAAAAACUUAUUAAAUAUCGAACUAUGAUGCCCAUCAAGGAUAAGUUCGAUUGGAACUGAGGCGAUUGACUUAAUUUGAGUUGAUUUUAGUGACAAUUUCUACCUUAACCAAGAAUCACCUCAUGACGUGUAUGACAGCACGUCAGUAUUCAUUGUGUAUACGGGUAAUAAAUGGAUAGAUCGUUCGUCUGGAAUAUUCAAAUGAAGAAUAAUUGAUGCAAUGUAUCUAGGACUACACUUUUCAAUGUAACAUUCCUUUUCAGACAAUAGGAUGAAAGUUCAGAGAAAAUAUGAUUGCAAUUUGUGGCCUGUCAAGUAAAUAUGUAGAGACUCAUU
Molecule: long non-coding RNA, 548 nt
Organism: Octopus sinensis (East Asian common octopus)
Lineage: Eukaryota; Metazoa; Mollusca; Cephalopoda; Octopoda; Octopodidae
Exons: 2
Source: RefSeq, a predicted model, not a curated record